ACUACGGGAGGCUGCAGUGAGGAAUAUUGGUCAAUGGGCGGAAGCCUGAACCAGCCAAGUCGCGUGAGGGAAUAAGGCCCUACGGGUCGUAAACCUCUUUUGCCGGGGAGCAAGGGCGGGGACGUGUCCCGGCCCGGAGAGUACCCGGAGAAAAAGCAUCGGCUAACUCCGUGCCAGCAGCCGCGGUAAUACGGGGGAUGCGGGCGGUAUACGGAUUUAAUGGGUUUAAAGGGUGCGUAGGCGGGCUUUUACGUCAGCGGUAAAAAUUCGGGGCUCAACCCCGUCCGGCCGUUGAAACUGGGGGCGUUGAGUGGGCGAGAAGAAGGCGGGAUGCGUGGUGUAGCGGUGAAAUGCAGAGAUAUCACGCAGAACCCCGAUUGCGAAGGCAGCCUUCCGGCGCCCUACUGACGCUGAGGCACGAAAGUGCGGGGAUCGAACAGGAUUAGAUACCCGGGUAGUC
This 460-nucleotide ribosomal RNA is filed under the name uncultured bacterium. RNAcentral's name for it is "partial 16S ribosomal RNA". It matches the Rfam family "Bacterial small subunit ribosomal RNA", at positions 338 to 795 of the family's 1533-position model. The record is from RNAcentral.